RNAcentral lists this ribosomal RNA (274 nucleotides) under uncultured bacterium. Its description in RNAcentral is "partial 16S ribosomal RNA". It matches the Rfam family "Bacterial small subunit ribosomal RNA", at positions 523 to 796 of the family's 1533-position model. The record is from RNAcentral.
AUCCGGAGGGUGCAAGCGUUACUCGGAAUCACUGGGCGUAAAGCGCGCGCAGGCGGUCUUUUAAGUUGGAUGUGAAAGCCUACGGCUCAACCGUAGAACUGCAUCCAAAACUAUUAGACUAGAGUGUGGGAGAGGAAGAUGGAAUUAGUUGUGUAGGGGUAAAAUCCGUAGAGAUAACUAGGAAUACCAAAAGCGAAGGCAAUCUUCUGGAACACUACUGACGCUGAGGCGCGAAAGCGUGGGGAGCAAACAGGAUUAGAUACCCUAGUAGUCC